Molecule: ribosomal RNA, 253 nt
Filed under: uncultured bacterium
Lineage: Bacteria
Description: partial 16S ribosomal RNA
Rfam family: Bacterial small subunit ribosomal RNA
Source: RNAcentral
UACGUAGGGCGCAAGCGUUGUCCGGAAUUAUUGGGCGUAAAGAGCUCGUAGGCGGUUUGUCGCGUCGAAUGUGAAAACCCGGGGCUCAACCCCGGGCCUGCAUUCGAUACGGGCAGACUAGUGUUCGGUAGGGGAGUCUGGAAUUCCUGGUGUAGCGGUGAAAUGCGCAGAUAUCAGGAGGAACACCGAUGGCGAAGGCAGCUCGCUGGGACGGUACUGACGCUGAGGCGCGAAAGCCAGGGGAGCAAACGGG